UACAGAGGUCUCAAGCGUUGUUCGGAUUCAUUGGGCGUAAAGGGUGCGUAGGCGGCGCGGUAAGUCGGGUGUGAAAUCUCGGAGCUUAACUCCGAAACUGCAUUCGAUACUGCCGUGCUUGAGGACUGGAGAGGAGACUGGAAUUUACGGUGUAGCGGUGAAAUGCGUAGAUAUCGUAAGGAACAUCAGUGGCGAAAGCGACUUCCUGGUCCAGCAUCGACGUUCAGGCACGAAAGCGUGGGGAGCAAACAGG
RNAcentral lists this ribosomal RNA (253 nucleotides) under uncultured bacterium. RNAcentral describes it as "partial 16S ribosomal RNA". It matches the Rfam family "Bacterial small subunit ribosomal RNA", at positions 524 to 776 of the family's 1533-position model. The record is from RNAcentral.